This is a long non-coding RNA of Nannospalax galili (Upper Galilee mountains blind mole rat), 2487 nucleotides long. RefSeq lists it as uncharacterized. NCBI's taxonomy places the organism in Eukaryota, Metazoa, Chordata, Mammalia, Rodentia, Spalacidae. The record is from RefSeq and is a predicted model, not a curated record. The transcript is spliced from 2 exons.
CCGCCCCCCGUGGUCCAAACUGGGUGAUGGUGCCGGAAGGGUGACUGGGUGCUGGGUAGUCGGUCCCCAAUGCCCUCCCGGGGUGGGGGGUGCGACACGGAGCCGAGAUGACCGGGACACCCACUCGGUGCUGAGGCCGCGAGACCUCGGUUCUCGGAAGUGCUCAGCAGACAAAUGUCUGACAAUUAAAAAUAAUUGGGCCCGCGCGGUGCCUGCCGGGAGCGGGGGCUGCGCGGGAAGCCGCCGGGCGGGGGGCGGGGGGCCUGGAAACCGCCGCAGCCUCCCCAGCUAAUUGAUUCCCGAUUACUCUCGGGUCCCAGGCGCUGUUGACACAAUUAAACACCAUUAAAAACCGGCUCGUUCCGGCUGCCGGCGACGCGGGCCUCGGAAUCCGGCUCUUGCCAGUUUCUUCUCACGAAUAUUGAAGUAACCGUCCACCAGAGAUGCUCCCCCAGGACUCCGGCGUAUGUCAUGACGUCACGUGAGUCGUCACGGCGUCGAGCGGACGUAGACGGCCCUAGAAGCCCGGGAGGUGUGACGUCACGGGUGCCGAACACCGCAGGCCCGGUGAUGACGAAGGUUUGUGCAUAUCGCGGGGUUUUACCCCAGACCCUGGUUGGACUUGGCCUGGGGGGGGGGCGUGAAACCGCCACCGUGUAUCUGGUGCCCACUAGGUGGUGCUGAGGGCACGAUGACUUUCGGCUGCAUCCAAGACAAAUGGGGUGCUGGGUCCCGGUCCCCGUUUUCUGGUACAAAAUUUCUAACGUGGACAGACACCCAACCGGAACUGGAACCUCCAGGCCCGUCCCCUCACCCAUCCACACCUGUCAAUCAAGGACCUCAGCCGGUCACACUUUGGUACAGGUGCUGGGAUGGGUCAACACAGCAAGACCAGCUCCUGCUGCACGGUCCACAUCGGAAAACUAUACAGCACUGAAGAGGAAGUCCUGAUUGCAGGUUUGAGUCUGGGGGCACCUUGUUACCUCCAUAGCCGCGGCUGACUGAUACAAACUGGUUUUAAUUAGGUGUCCGAGUGUGAGCAGCACUGGGUGGAGGCCAGAAGAGGCCUGCGGAGCUCCUGGAGCUGGGGGUUCCAGAGGUUGUGGGAAAUCGUACUGUACACAGCACCAUCAAGUACUGAUCAGGAGGAUGUGCCGGUCAGCUGUGUCCCGUCCGUGCCUCAGUUUCCCUGACUGGCACCGAGCCAUGGGCAAAACGGUACCCAGGUGUGCAGACAUCAUGCCAUCAGUUCGAGGGCUGGAGUCACAUGUGCCGGUUUUCUCUGGGUCUCUGUCUGUUUCCAUCCCUUCAUUCUAAAUAAAGAACAGUCGCCAGCAAAGGAAAAAAGACAAAGGUUUCUGCGAGCAGCCCGAGCCUGGAAGUACUUAACCCCCCUUUUUCUAACUUUGCACUCGGUUCCCCUUCAGCAGCUCUGACAUCAUAGCACGUCCUUAAACUUGUCCCCAGUUCGUCUUUCAUUCGGCUGCUAUUUCAAAUAAGUAGAAGUAAACAGUGGAUAAACAAAGGCAGCCAAGCCGAGGACGCGGGUCCGACCCCCGGAACCCCGGGCUUUUGAAAGCAACAUGGCGACGUUUGACGACUGAAUAUUUGUGAUUUCACGGAACCGCUGAUCGUCAGUUGAUGAAUCCACAAACUUCCCGGUUUUUGUCUCUUUCAGGAUUUUGAGCAGUGGGUCAUGUGCAAAGACUCCACCGGCCGCAUUUAAACAGGGAAUAAACUGGACUGAGCCGGCGUGGGUGGCCCCGGGGCCGAGCACCGUCCUGUCAUGCCUCCGCCCCCGCAGCCCCCGCCGCCCCUGCCGCCGUGGACCUGAUUAGGGGCCAAUUUACAGCCGUGAGUGCGCCCGGCCCGCUAAUGUUUCCUGACACUUUCAGGAGGGUCCGCUCGAGACCUCUGGCCGGGAGAGCGUUGCCCUGGCAACGGGUCCCACCGCCGGCCCGACCAGUCGGAUGCGGAUCUAGACAAGUUUGCACCCCGCCCGCUGGGUUCCUUUUGUUUCGCUGCUCUAUUGUGUAUGGAUUUAGAGUGUGGGUGCUGCCCUGGGUGUGCGCGCCCUAUGCACACGGCCACGGUGCGUGUGCAAAGCCUGCGAAGAUGUGAACAGGGACAUGGUGCCGGGUGCAAGUGCUGGGAGCAUUUGUACAUGGUGCCGGGUGCAGAAGCAGGGAGACUUGCACAGGGACCUGGUGCCAUGUGAAAGGCUGCGAAGAUUUGUGCAGGGUCCUGGGUUCAAAAACUGACAUCGUUUGCACAGGGACAUGGUGCUGUAUGCAAAACUCGAGCCGAUUUGCACAGGGGCACGUUGUCACGUGCAGAAACUAUAAGGCUUUGCAAAGAUACAUGGUGCUGUGAGGAUCUGCACAGUGCUGUGUGCAAAAGGUGUAAAGACUUGAACAGGGACAUGGAGCCUUGUGCAGAAGCUGCAAGAUUUGCCCUGACAUGGAGGGUGGGGCUUGUCGGGGAGAG